This 71-nucleotide transfer RNA is filed under the name Koutabatermes spinifer. RNAcentral's name for it is "tRNA-Cys". Lineage: Eukaryota; Metazoa; Arthropoda; Insecta; Blattodea; Termitidae. The record is from RNAcentral.
AGCCUUGUAUUCAUUUAUGUGAUUAUAGAAUGCAAUUCUAUAGGGGUGAGGUUGAAUACUUACCAAGGCCU